This 500-nucleotide ribosomal RNA is filed under the name uncultured bacterium. Its description in RNAcentral is "partial 16S ribosomal RNA". It matches the Rfam family "Bacterial small subunit ribosomal RNA", at positions 28 to 507 of the family's 1533-position model. The record is from RNAcentral.
GACGAACGCUGGCGGCGUGCUUAACACAUGCAAGUCGAACGGGUCUGCCCUGUUUUUUGCGGGGUGGGUCAGUGGCGAACGGGUGAGUAACACGUGAGUAACCUGCCCCUCACUUCUGGAUAACCGCUUGAAAGGGUGGCUAAUACGGGGUGUUCUGGCUGUGCCGCGUGGUGUGGCUGGGAAAGAUUCACUUUUGUGGUGUUUUGGUGGGGGAUGGGCUCGCGGCCUAUCAGCUUGUUGGUGGGGUGAUGGCCUGCCAAGGCUUUGACGGGUAGCCGGCCUGAGAGGGUGGGCGGUCACACUGGGACUGAGAUACGGCCCAGACUCCGGCGGGAGGCAGCAGUGGGGGGUAUUGCACAAUGGGCGGAAGCCUGAUGCAGCGACGUCGCGUGAGGGAUGGAGGCCUUCGGGUUGUGAACCUCUUUCGCCGGUGAAGAAGGUCCUGCUCUUUGUGGUGGGGUUGACGGUAGCCGGGUUAUGAAGCGCCGGCUAACUACGUG